UAAUACUCCAUAGAUUAGAGACACUGGAAUGUUCUUUAGUCGAAAGUUCCGGCGCCCUAGGAUGGAUCUGCGGCCGAUUAGGUUGUUGUUGGGGUAAUGGCCCAACAAGCCAGUAAUCGGUACGGGUUGUGGGAGCAAGAGCCCGGAGUUGGAUUCUGAGACACGAAUCCAGGCCCUACGGGGCGCAGCAGGCGCGAAAACUUUACAAUGCGGGCAACCGUGAUAAGGGAACCUCGAGUGCCUGUAAAUGCAGGCUGUUCAGAUGCCUAAAACACAUCUGGAGAAAGGGCCGGGCAAGACCGGUGCCAGCCGCCGCGGUAAUACCGGCGGCUCGAGUGGUGGCCACUUUUAUUGGGCUUAAAGCGUUCGUAGCUGGGUUGUUAAGUCUCUUGGGAAAUCUGGCGGCUUAACCGUCAGGCGUCUAAGGGAUACUGGCAAUCUUGGAACCGGGAGAGGUGAGGGGUACUUCGGGGGUAGGAGUGAAAUCCUGUAAUCCUCGAGGGACCACCUGUGGCGAAGGCGCCUCACCAGAACGGCUUCGACAGUGAGGGACGAAAGCUGGGGGAGCAAACCGGAUUAGAUACCCGGGUAGUCCCAGCCGUAAACUAUGCGCGUUAGGUGUAU
This 624-nucleotide ribosomal RNA is filed under the name uncultured archaeon. RNAcentral's name for it is "bacterial SSU rRNA". It matches the Rfam family "Archaeal small subunit ribosomal RNA", at positions 147 to 776 of the family's 1478-position model. The record is from RNAcentral.